CAAUAGCGUAUAUUUAAGUUGUUGCAGUUAAAAAGCUCGUAGUUGGAUUUCGGUUAAGAGCGACCGGUCCGCCGUUUGGUGUGCACUGGUUGGUUUUAACUUCCUGUAGAGGACGUGCUCUGGGUUUAACGACCUGGACUCGGAGUCUACGUGGUUACUUUGAAAAAAUUAGAGUGUUCAAAGCGGGCUUACGCUUGAAUAUUUCAGCAUGGAAUAACACUAUAGGACUCCUGUCCUAUUUCGUUGGUCUCGGGACGGGAGUAAUGAUUAAGAGGAACAGUUGGGGGCAUUCGUAUUUCAUUGCCAGAGGUGAAAUUCUUGGAUUUAUGAAAGACGAACUUCUGCGAAAGCAUUUGCCAAGGAUGUUUUCAUUAA
This 375-nucleotide ribosomal RNA is filed under the name uncultured eukaryote. RNAcentral describes it as "partial 18S ribosomal RNA". It matches the Rfam family "Eukaryotic small subunit ribosomal RNA", at positions 592 to 976 of the family's 1831-position model. The record is from RNAcentral.